GGCUGCAACUCGCCUACAUGAAGUCGGAAUUGCUAGUAAUCGCGGAUCAGCAUNCCGCGGUGAAUACGUUCCCGGGCCUUGUACACACCGCCCGUCACACCAUGGGAGUCGGUAACACCCGAAGCCUGUAGUCUAACCGCAAGGAGGACGCAGUCGAAGGUGGGAUUGAUGACUGGGGUGAAGUCGUAACAAGGUAUC
Molecule: ribosomal RNA, 198 nt
Filed under: uncultured bacterium
Lineage: Bacteria
Description: partial 16S ribosomal RNA
Rfam family: Bacterial small subunit ribosomal RNA
Source: RNAcentral